RNAcentral lists this ribosomal RNA (670 nucleotides) under uncultured bacterium. RNAcentral describes it as "bacterial SSU rRNA". It matches the Rfam family "Bacterial small subunit ribosomal RNA", at positions 8 to 669 of the family's 1533-position model. The record is from RNAcentral.
AGAGUUUGAUCAUGGCUCAGAUUGAACGCUGGCGGCAGGCCUAACACAUGCAAGUCGAACGGUAGCACAGAGAGCUUGCUCUCGGGUGACGAGUGGCGGACGGGUGAGUAAUAUCUGGGAAACUGCCCGAUGGAGGGGGAUAACUACUGGAAACGGUAGCUAAUACCGCAUAACGUCGCAAGGCCAAAGAGGGGGACCUUAGGGCCUCUUGCCAUAGGAUGUGCCCAGAUGGGAUUAGCUUGUUGGUGAGGUAACGGCUCACCAAGGCGACGAUCCCUAGCUGGUCUGAGAGGAUGACCAGCCACACUGGAACUGAGACACGGUCCAGACUCCUACGGGAGGCAGCAGUGGGGAAUAUUGCACAAUGGGCGCAAGCCCGAUGCAGCCAUGCCGCGUGUAUGAAGAAGGCCUUCGGGUUGUAAAGUACUUUCAGCGGGGAGGAAGGCGGUGAGGUUAAUAACCUUACUGAUUGACGUUACCCGCAGAAGAAGCACCGGCUAACUCCGUGCCAGCAGCCGCGGUAAUACGGAGGGUGCAAGCGUUAAUCGGAAUUACUGGGCGUAAAGCGCACGCAGGCGGUCUGACAAGUCGGAUGUGAAAUCCCCGGGCUCAACCCGGGAACUGCAUUCGAAACUGUCAGGCUGGAGUCCUGUAGAGGGGGGUAGAAUUC